RNAcentral lists this ribosomal RNA (527 nucleotides) under Bifidobacterium pseudocatenulatum. Its description in RNAcentral is "bacterial SSU rRNA". It matches the Rfam family "Bacterial small subunit ribosomal RNA", at positions 164 to 703 of the family's 1533-position model. Lineage: Bacteria; Bacillati; Actinomycetota; Actinomycetes; Bifidobacteriales; Bifidobacteriaceae. The record is from RNAcentral.
UAAUGCCGGAUGCUCCGACUCCUCGCAUGGGGUGUCGGGAAAGAUUUCAUCGGUAUGGGAUGGGGUCGCGUCCUAUCAGGUAGUCGGCGGGGUAACGGCCCACCGAGCCUACGACGGGUAGCCGGCCUGAGAGGGCGACCGGCCACAUUGGGACUGAGAUACGGCCCAGACUCCUACGGGAGGCAGCAGUGGGGAAUAUUGCACAAUGGGCGCAAGCCUGAUGCAGCGACGCCGCGUGCGGGAUGACGGCCUUCGGGUUGUAAACCGCUUUUGAUCGGGAGCAAGCCUUCGGGUGAGUGUACCUUUCGAAUAAGCACCGGCUAACUACGUGCCAGCAGCCGCGGUAAUACGUAGGGUGCAAGCGUUAUCCGGAAUUAUUGGGCGUAAAGGGCUCGUAGGCGGUUCGUCGCGUCCGGUGUGAAAGUCCAUCGCUUAACGGUGGAUCUGCGCCGGGUACGGGCGGGCUGGAGUGCGGUAGGGGAGACUGGAAUUCCCGGUGUAACGGUGGAAUGUGUAGAUAUCGGGAA